GUAUUUACACUCAGAAGAGUUUUUCUUCCAACCAGGCAAACCUUUCUCAUCUAAACUUUGCUAAGCUGGGUUGGGCAAUCAUUUGCACACAGUAUGCAUAGAGGGUAAAUCAUGGUCAGGGAAAGGAGAGAAGAGGAGGCUGGGGGAAUGGAAUGGGACAUGCAGUUGGGGUGGUGUUCUCAUUCUUACUUAGAGCACGCCUAAUGACCCUUCUCGGGAACUGGAGAGGAGCAGUGGUUUGUACCAAUCUUGUCCUAGGCCUUCCACAUGGCCUGGACUGAAGAGUUCCUGCAUGCAGCUCUUUCCGUAUCCAUGGAGCCCCUUCUGCCAUGAGUCAGAGAUUAUCUCAGGGGUUGACGCUUCUCCAUAUGUGAGCUCUACUAAGCCGAGUACCUUUAGCACCUCUUUCAGCAACCAAUUCUUGCGUGAUUAAAGACAUUCUUUUUUUUGUACCAUAAUUCUUAGGAAUUCAAGACUACCUGCUGCCCCUCCAAAUUUAUUUCCCUUACUUUAGUUAUUGGCUCACUUUUUAUCAGUAUCUUAGUUAACAAUCUAUGCAGUAUUUGAAAGUGAUGACUGUCACUGCUUCAGUAUACAUUUUACAAUAUGGUCUUACAAAAUUUGAUGAUGGCUUCUUUCUUUUCCAUUUAUUUCCAAAUUAGUGAGCUUUAAAAAAGACCUAUAACAUCUUGUGAAGGAGGGGCAGAACUUAUCAUCCUCAACUAACAUAGAGAAAAUUGUCUCAUAGAGCAGGAGCUGAUAGCCCUUGGCUUUCUGGAUGGAGGAGACAGCAAUGGAGUGGAGGGAUUUCUCAGGAAUCUCCCCCAGGGGCUGCUCUACAGGCCUCUUCAAGGCAGACCGGAUCCCCUUCAGGCCCAGGUGGCCCAACUCCAUCACGUUGAGGAAUAGGGACACAGAGGCCACAGACAACAUGAACAGGAUGAAGAUGGUUUUCUCCGUGGGCCGGGACACGAAGCAGUCCACCACAUUGGGGCAGGGCCACCGGCUGCAGCGGUACAGAGGCAGGAUCCGGAACCCGUACAGGAAGUAGUGGCCCACGAUGAAGCCCACUUCAAAGAGGGUCUUGAAGAUGAUGUGGCAGAUGUAGGUCCUCAGCAGGGUCCCCUCCAGCCGGAACUUCUUAGUGCCUUUGCUGCCGCUGCUCUUCUUGACGCUGCCCUGGUCCGGGCCGCCGUUAGUCCCCGCCUGCUGGCCCAGCUCCUCCGCCUCGCGGCUUUUGCGCUUCUCCUCCAUGCGGACGUAGUGCACCGCGUGCCCCACGUACAUCAGGGACGGGGUGGAGACGAAGAUGAUCUGCAGCACCCAGAGGCGAAUGUGGGAGAUGGGAAAGGCCUCGUCGUAGCAGACGUUCUCGCAGCCAGGCUGCUGGGUGUUGCACACGAAGUCGGAUUGCUCAUCCCCCCACACGAACUCUGCGGCCGUGCCAAGGAUGAGGAUCCGGAAGAUGAAAAGCACGGUGAGCCAGACUCUGCCGAUGACGGUGGAGUGCUCAUUCACCUCCUCCAAGAUGUUCCCCAGGAAACUCCAGUCGCCCAUUUCUCACCCACCUGAAGAAAUGAGGGAGAAGGCAAGAGCUGAGCGGCCGCAAUGCAACCCUGAGUCAAUAUCUGUUUUUGCUAACGCGGGGUACCUCUCCUUUCCAAGUUGCCAGAACGGUCAAUGUGCACACAGCGUCUAUCCAGUGCUUCCUUUGUGCAGACUAGGACUAGAGAACAAAGAAGGCCCCGAAGAAUGUGCUUCCAUCCGCUUCCUCAUCUGUAAAAUGGGUUUAAUAAUAAUAAUACCUAUUCUCAUUCACUUCACAAAUGGUCUGAAAGCAUCAAUGAGGCAAUAUUUGUAUAAUUCCUUAAAGUCCACCAAAAAUAAGGAUUCAUUGUUGACCAUAAAUA
RNAcentral lists this long non-coding RNA (1910 nucleotides) under Homo sapiens (human). RNAcentral describes it as "non-protein coding lnc-GJA5-3:1". Lineage: Eukaryota; Metazoa; Chordata; Mammalia; Primates; Hominidae. The record is from RNAcentral.